Eutrema salsugineum is the source of this 85-nucleotide transfer RNA. It matches the Rfam family "tRNA". Rfam says of the family: Transfer RNA (tRNA) molecules are approximately 80 nucleotides in length. Their secondary structure includes four short double-helical elements and three loops (D, anti-codon, and T loops). NCBI's taxonomy places the organism in Eukaryota, Viridiplantae, Streptophyta, Magnoliopsida, Brassicales, Brassicaceae. The record is from Rfam.
CCGACCUUAGCUCAGUUGGUAAAUCGGAGGAGUGUAGUUGAAGCAGGAUAUCCUUAGGUCACUGGUUCAAAUCCGGUAGGUCGGA